RNAcentral lists this ribosomal RNA (513 nucleotides) under uncultured eukaryote. RNAcentral's name for it is "bacterial SSU rRNA". It matches the Rfam family "Eukaryotic small subunit ribosomal RNA", at positions 597 to 1108 of the family's 1831-position model. The record is from RNAcentral.
GCGUACGUUAAAGUUGCUGCAGUUAAAAAGCUCGUAGUUGAACGUUCGGGUUCCGCGGGACGGGGCCGCCCCGCGAGGGACGGCGCCGCCCCGGGGCUCGUGAUAUCUUAUCUCGCCGCCCGUCGCGAGGCGGACGGAGGGAUGGAUGAGGUUACCUGGAAAAAAUCGGGGCGAUCUAGGCGGGCGAACCUCGCCAACGAACGAUCGGACAUGGGAUAACGGAAGAGGGCGUCGGCUCGACUUCGUCGGUUCCUCGGGCCGAGGCACGUACGGUGAAUAGGGACGGUCGGGGCCGCCCGUACCGGGUCGUGAGAGGUGAAAUUCUAGGAUCGACCCGAGACGAACUGCCGCGAAAGCAUUCGGCAAGGACGCUUUCAUUAAUCAAGAACGAAAGUCGGGGGAUCGAAGACGAUCAGAUACCGUCGUAGUCCCGACCGUAAACGAUGCCGACCGAGGGCCCGGAGGAGUUACGUACGACCCUCCGGGCCCUCCCGCGAGAAAUCAGGAGUAUUC